RNAcentral lists this ribosomal RNA (1186 nucleotides) under Escherichia coli. Its description in RNAcentral is "bacterial SSU rRNA". It matches the Rfam family "Bacterial small subunit ribosomal RNA", at positions 37 to 1213 of the family's 1533-position model. The record is from RNAcentral. Lineage: Bacteria; Pseudomonadati; Pseudomonadota; Gammaproteobacteria; Enterobacterales; Enterobacteriaceae.
UGGCGGCAGGCCUAACACAUGCAAGUCGAACGGUAACAGGAAGCAGCUUGCUGCUUUGCUGACGAGUGGCGGACGGGUGAGUAAUGUCUGGGAAACUGCCUGAUGGAGGGGGAUAACUACUGGAAACGGUAGCUAAUACCGCAUAACGUCGCAAGACCAAAGAGGGGGACCUUCGGGCCUCUUGCCAUCGGAUGUGCCCAGAUGGGAUUAGCUAGUAGGUGGGGUAACGGCUCACCUAGGCGACGAUCCCUAGCUGGUCUGAGAGGAUGACCAGCCACACUGGAACUGAGACACGGUCCAGACUCCUACGGGAGGCAGCAGUGGGGAAUAUUGCACAAUGGGCGCAAGCCUGAUGCAGCCAUGCCGCGUGUAUGAAGAAGGCCUUCGGGUUGUAAAGUACUUUCAGCGGGGAGGAAGGGAGUAAAGUUAAUACCUUUGCUCAUUGACGUUACCCGCAGAAGAAGCACCGGCUAACUCCGUGCCAGCAGCCGCGGUAAUACGGAGGGUGCAAGCGUUAAUCGGAAUUACUGGGCGUAAAGCGCACGCAGGCGGUUUGUUAAGUCAGAUGUGAAAUCCCCGGGCUCAACCUGGGAACUGCAUCUGAUACUGGCAAGCUUGAGUCUCGUAGAGGGGGGUAGAAUUCCAGGUGUAGCGGUGAAAUGCGUAGAGAUCUGGAGGAAUACCGGUGGCGAAGGCGGCCCCCUGGACGAAGACUGACGCUCAGGUGCGAAAGCGUGGGGAGCAAACAGGAUUAGAUACCCUGGUAGUCCACGCCGUAAACGAUGUCGACUUGGAGGUUGUGCCCUUGAGGCGUGGCUUCCGGAGCUAACGCGUUAAGUCGACCGCCUGGGGAGUACGGCCGCAAGGUUAAAACUCAAAUGAAUUGACGGGGGCCCGCACAAGCGGUGGAGCAUGUGGUUUAAUUCGAUGCAACGCGAAGAACCUUACCUGGUCUUGACAUCCACAGAACUUUCCAGAGAUGGAUUGGUGCCUUCGGGAACUGUGAGACAGGUGCUGCAUGGCUGUCGUCAGCUCGUGUUGUGAAAUGUUGGGUUAAGUCCCGCAACGAGCGCAACCCUUAUCCUUUGUUGGCAGCGGGUCGGCCGGGAACUCAAAGGAAACUGCCCGUGAUAAACUGGAGGAAGGUGGGGAUGACGUCAAAUCAUCAUGGCCCUUACGACCAGGG